UAAAUUGAAGCCAAAUGUCCAGGCGCUUAGCUGUUAACUAAGAAGUAGAGGGAUAAAUACCUUCCAGUUUAG
Molecule: transfer RNA, 72 nt
Filed under: Phascolosorex dorsalis (narrow-striped marsupial shrew)
Lineage: Eukaryota; Metazoa; Chordata; Mammalia; Dasyuromorphia; Dasyuridae
Description: tRNA-Asn
Rfam family: tRNA
About the family: Transfer RNA (tRNA) molecules are approximately 80 nucleotides in length. Their secondary structure includes four short double-helical elements and three loops (D, anti-codon, and T loops).
Source: RNAcentral